This is a non-coding RNA of Cercopithifilaria johnstoni, 673 nucleotides long. The record is from the annotation of a GenBank genome assembly. Lineage: Eukaryota; Metazoa; Nematoda; Chromadorea; Rhabditida; Onchocercidae.
AUAUUAAGUUUGAUUUUAGUUUUAGUUGUAUUAAGAUAGUAUUACUUAUUUAUAGUUUAUUUAGUAUGAAAUUUUUUAUACAUUGGUAGUUUCUUUAUUGUUUUAUAAAUGUUCCAGAAUAAUCGGCUAUACAUUUUAAUUUUUAACUCUAUUUAUUGUGACAUCUUUGAGUGUUUUAUUUUUUAUACUAUUUUUGUAAAAUAUAUUAGUUUUUAUUUUAUUUUUUGAGGGUGUUUAAAAUUUGCUUUAGUGAACUGGACUAGUACCCAGGUAAUCAAAAUUUAAUAGUUCGGGAGUAAAGUUAUAUUUAAACCGAAAAAAUAUUGACUGACUUUAGAUUUUUCUUUGGAAUAUGUGUUUGGAGAGUCCUCCUUGAUAGUAAUUUUUAUAGGCACAUGUAUGAUUGUUUAGUUUUUAUAUUAUUUAUAAUGCUAUUUUUUUAAAGUAUUAAAACAGAUAUAUAUUUGGUUUAUAUUUUUAUUUUUCAUGUAUUACUAUUGUUAAUUUUUUUUGGAUAUUUUUUUAAUUUUUUUUUGAAAUUGGAAAAGAAAGUAAUUUUUUAUUUUUAUGUUGUAAUGAAUUUAAUAAAUAAAGUGGUACAAACCAUCCGUCAAUGGCCUAAAGGGGCGUAAGUUGUAGUAUGGUAGAAGUAAGGAAACUUGUUUCUAUUUUU